CCCCGUAACUUCGGGAGAAGGGGGACCAUGCCCGGUGAACAUCUUCACGGUGGGAGCUGGGUGUGGUCGCAGAGACCAGAGAGAAGCGACUGUUUACUAAAAACACAGGUCCGUGCGAAGACGUAAGUCGAUGUAUACGGACUGACGCCUGCCCGGUGCUGGAAGGUUAAGAGGACCGGUUAGCCGUAAGGCGAAGCUGAGAAUUUAAGCCCCAGUAAACGGCGGUGGUAACUAUAACCAUCCUAAGGUAGCGAAAUUCCUUGUCGGGUAAGUUCCGACCUGCACGAAUGGCGUAACGACUUCUCUGCUGUCUCGACCACAGACUCGGCGAAAUUGCACUACGAGUAAAGAUGCUCGUUACGCGCGGCAGGACGAAAAGACCCCGGGACCUUUACUAUAGCUUGGUAUUGGCGUUCGAUUCGGUUUGUGUAGGAUAGGUGGGAGACUGUGAAGCAUGCACGCCAGUGUGUGUGGAGUCGUUGUUGAAAUACCACUCUGAUCGUAUUGGACGUCUAACCUCGGCCCAUGAUCUGGGUUAGGGACAGUGCCUGGUGGGUAGUUUAACUGGGGCGGUUGCCUCCUAAAGAGUAACGGAGGCGCCCAAAGGUUCCCUCAGCCUGGAUGGCAAUCAGGUGUUGAGUGCAAGUGCACAAGGGAGCUUGACUGUGAGACUGACACGUCGAGCAGGGACGAAAGUCGGGACUAGUGAUCCGGCACCGGCAAGUGGAAGCGGUGUCGCUCAACGGAUAAAAGGUACCCCGGGGAUAACAGGCUGAUCUUCCCCAAGAGUCCAUAUCGACGGGAUGGUUUGGCACCUCGAUGUCGGCUCGUCGCAUCCUGGGGCUGGAGUAGGUCCCAAGGGUUGGGCUGUUCGCCCAUUAAAGCGGCACGCGAGCUGGGUUUAGAACGUCGUGAGACAGUUCGGUCUCUAUCCGCCGCGCGCGUAAGAAACUUGAGGAAGGCUGUCCCUAGUACGAGAGGACCGGGACGGACGAACCUCUGGUGUGCCAGUUGUUCCACCAGGAGCAUGGCUGGUUAGCUACGUUCGGAAGGGAUAACCGCUGAAAGCAUCUAAGCGGGAAGCCUGUUCCAAGAUGAGGUUUCUCACCACCUUGCGUGGUUAAGGCCCCCUACAGACCAUGGGGUUGAUAGGCCGGAACUGGAAGCGCAGCAAUGCGUGGAGGUGACCGGUACUAAUAGGCCGAGGGCUC
This 1211-nucleotide ribosomal RNA is filed under the name metagenome. RNAcentral's name for it is "bacterial LSU rRNA". It matches the Rfam family "Bacterial large subunit ribosomal RNA", at positions 1726 to 2925 of the family's 2925-position model. The record is from RNAcentral.